This 130-nucleotide small nucleolar RNA is filed under the name Echeneis naucrates (live sharksucker). Lineage: Eukaryota; Metazoa; Chordata; Actinopteri; Carangiformes; Echeneidae. The record is from RNAcentral.
AUGCACAAUUCAUUGUCCUGCUCUUCUCAUUAUUUAGAGCAGUGAUAUUUCUGUUGUGCAAGAAAAAGGUGGAGGUAAAUUAGCAGAGUGGCUCGUCAGUACCACAUCUGCCAGUCCCCUUCAUACAGUA